GCGCUCGUAGCUCAGUUGGAUAGAGCACUGGUUUCCGGUACCAGGGGUCGGGGGUUCAAGUCCUCCCGGGCGCACUA
This 77-nucleotide transfer RNA is filed under the name Lentibacillus lipolyticus. RNAcentral describes it as "Lentibacillus sp. SSKP1-9 tRNA-Arg". It matches the Rfam family "tRNA". From Rfam's summary of the family: Transfer RNA (tRNA) molecules are approximately 80 nucleotides in length. Their secondary structure includes four short double-helical elements and three loops (D, anti-codon, and T loops). Further hydrogen bonds mediate the characteristic L-shaped molecular structure. tRNAs have two regions of fundamental functional importance: the anti-codon, which is responsible for specific mRNA codon recognition, and the 3' end, to which the tRNAs corresponding amino acid is attached (by aminoacyl-tRNA synthetases). tRNAs cope with the degeneracy of the genetic code in two manners: having more than one tRNA (with a specific anti-codon) for a particular amino acid; and 'wobble' base-pairing, i.e. permitting non-standard base-pairing at the 3rd anti-codon position. The record is from RNAcentral. Lineage: Bacteria; Bacillati; Bacillota; Bacilli; Caryophanales; Bacillaceae.